Molecule: ribosomal RNA, 439 nt
Filed under: uncultured archaeon
Lineage: Archaea
Description: bacterial SSU rRNA
Rfam family: Archaeal small subunit ribosomal RNA
Source: RNAcentral
AAUCUUCCGGCUUAACCGGAAGGCGUCUCAGGGAUACUGGCAGACUAGGGACCGGAAGAGGUGAGGGGUACUCCAGGGGUAGGAGUGAAAUCCUGUAAUCCUUGGGGGACCACCUGUGGCGAAGGCGCCUCACCAGGACGGCUCCGACAGUGAGGGACGAAAGCUGGGGGAGCAAACCGGAUUAGAUACCCGGGUAGUCCCAGCCGUAAACGAUGUGCGUUAGGUGUAUCGGUGACCACGAGUCACCGAGGUGCCGAAGAGAAAUCGUGAAACGUACCGCCUGGGAAGUACGGUCGCAAGGCUGAAACUUAAAGGAAUUGGCGGGGGAGCACCACAACAGGUGGAGCCUGCGGUUUAAUCGGACUCAACGCCGGAAAACUCACCAGAUAAGACAGCUGAAUGAUAGUCGGGCUGAAGACUCUACUUGACUAGCUGAGAA